UAUUGAAUAUUUAAAUAGUAUAGCCGCGCGGCUAUACUUUAUAAAUAUAUUUAAAUAUUUUAAUAGUAUAGCCGCCCGGCUAUACUAUUUAAAAUUCAGAAG
RNAcentral lists this microRNA precursor (102 nucleotides) under Prunus dulcis (almond). RNAcentral describes it as "sRNA ncRNA". The record is from RNAcentral. Lineage: Eukaryota; Viridiplantae; Streptophyta; Magnoliopsida; Rosales; Rosaceae.